This 21-nucleotide non-coding RNA is filed under the name Arabidopsis thaliana (thale cress). The record is from RNAcentral. Lineage: Eukaryota; Viridiplantae; Streptophyta; Magnoliopsida; Brassicales; Brassicaceae.
UCAAAGUUCAUGCCUUUUCCA